This 456-nucleotide ribosomal RNA is filed under the name uncultured Desulfobulbus sp. Its description in RNAcentral is "bacterial SSU rRNA". It matches the Rfam family "Bacterial small subunit ribosomal RNA", at positions 930 to 1382 of the family's 1533-position model. Lineage: Bacteria; Pseudomonadati; Thermodesulfobacteriota; Desulfobulbia; Desulfobulbales; Desulfobulbaceae. The record is from RNAcentral.
CGGUGGAGUAUGUGGUUUAAUUCGAUGCAACGCGAAGAACCUUACCUGGUCUUGACAUCCGGAGACCCUUAGGAAACUAGGGGUGCUUCCAUCUGGAAGAAUCUGGAGACAGGUGCUGCAUGGCUGUCGUCAGCUCGUGUCGUGAGAUGUUGGGUUAAGUCCCGCAACGAGCGCAACCCUUGCCUUUAGUUGCCAGCAGUUCGGCUGGGCACUCUAAAGGGACUGCCGGUGUUAAACCGGAGGAAGGUGGGGAUGACGUCAAGUCCUCAUGGCCUUUAUGACCAGGGCUACACACGUACUACAAUGGCCGAUACAAAGGGCAGCGACACUGCGAGGUGAAGCCAAUCCCGUAAAAUCGGUCUCAGUCCGGAUUGGAGUCUGCAACUCGACUCCAUGAAGUUGGAAUCGCUAGUAAUCGUGGAUCAGCAUGCCACGGUGAAUACGUUCCCGGGCCUU